UUAAAACCUGAGGGCGUGGUUGGUGAGAGGCCAUUUGAAUCCCUCGGCAGGUCCUGAAGUCCUUAUGCCUGUAUUCAAUACAUAACUGAAAGAUUUGAUGAUGAAAGAUAUUUCCAUAAAAACAGAGCCUCAGGAAUCAGUGCGAUUUGAAGAUGUGGCUGUGUACUUCACAGAGCAGGAACUGGCCAGCUUCACACUUGAUCAGAAGGCCCUGUACAAGGAGGUGGUGCUUGAGAACGUUGCACAUGUGGCUUUUCUGGGGUACAUUGCAAAACUGAGGAAGUAUGCUCAACUGGCUGGAACAGAAACAUCCAGGGUGAAGGCAUUCCUCUAAGUCAGGUGUACCAGGAAGGCAGAGCUGUGUCAUUGCUGUCAAGUGCAGACUUUUCUGUAGUCACGCAUAUUUCUGUAGACAUAGUGCUUUUUAGUUCAUUAAAGUUGUUCAUUAUCAUGGGCAAA
RNAcentral lists this small RNA (459 nucleotides) under Rattus norvegicus (Norway rat). Its description in RNAcentral is "KRAB domain containing 1 (Krabd1)". The record is from RNAcentral. Lineage: Eukaryota; Metazoa; Chordata; Mammalia; Rodentia; Muridae.